UUUAACCCCUCUCGAGACCGCAAACCCUAACCCUACCUUCUUCCUCCCUCGCGCCGCCAUCUCUCCUGCUUCCCUUCUUUUUCUCUGUGAAGCCCGAGCACCACCGUCGGCCUCGCCAUGGCGCCGCCGCUCCCAGGCUCCCCCCACCGUUCUGAGGGCACCAUCAGGUGCGCCCCGUCGUCCUCGUCAUCCUCGUCAAAGGAAUCGAGUUGGUUCCGCUCCAAUCGACGCCAAGGUCGCCAAUUCUCCGCUACGGCCGUCGCGCUCCGGCGAAGAUUCCGGCGAGCAUGGACCUCCUCCGCCCCUUCUGAGUACACCACCAAGUUUCUGAUGCUCCCCGCCGGCGCCUCUCCGUCGAUCCCCUGUGCCCGGCGCCGCCCCUCCAUGGUUCUCCGUGUCGACGCGGACCCCCUGCACCAAGCCCCGCUUCCCGGAAUGCCUCCAAUCUCCCGCGCGCAUCAUGUCCGGCCGCGGUGACCAUCGCGCCUGGAACGCGCACGGCGUCGAACGCCUUGCGUGCAAGUAACAGAUGGUUGCCACAUCGGCCGCCACGCUGUCGCCUCGUCAGCCCCGGGCCCCACGCGUCAGCCGCAGCGGCUAGCUGUCGCAUGGCAUUUGCUUCUUCCCGGAUAGGAUCACGAAGUGGUGUUGUAAGAUACGACGAGUUCUCCGACAAGUUCUUCUGCAGCUUUUCACAGGCGAGCCCACCCCUUCACCUAUUUUACUUUUACAUGCUCUUUUGAUCUAUUGCUAUCCUUAUGUUGCGAUUCUGUUGUGUCACGUGUCCUAUCCACCUGUUACCUAUAUGUCCGAGAUACACCUCCUCGCCCUACCUAUUGUUUGUUGUUUGCCAGCCUUGCGAGUCGUAGGCGUGUUUAGGCUCUGUUGUUUAUCUCGAUCUGUUAUCGGGAUAUGUUGGGUUGUUGGGAGGUUUUUACAUGCUAUAUCAUUUGUUGGAGAUAAUCACACUUUACUUUAUUGUUAACAACUAAAAUUGUAAGCAGAGGCAUCUGUGAGCCCCUUUGCGAAAGCAUCGGAACUUUGACUCGCUAAUGUCCCCUAGGACCCGAGUUCUUGUUAUCUGUUCCGAGAUUGAGCGCUCUACCCGUACGUGGGGGAAUGGGACCCCCAUCACCCACUACCUUUCCUCGAGUCUGUUUAUUGGGAGCCACAAUCUUGGUUUUAUUUGCCCAUAUGCACGAUAUGCACGAUUUACUUCCUGUUGCCUUCGGGUGUUUAUUUCUGUACUGUACUCAUAUUGCGUGCCGACUUAUCCUUGGCCGGUCGUUAGUGCCCGCCUUGGACGCCAUCGCAACUCCUGGGUCCGUAUCGGAGUACGGCCGAACUUCGUCACGGGUAGCUUAGUUGGGUAGCUCCCAUUAAACUUUCUCUUGCAUUGGGAACGGUCUUGAUGUGAGACUCCACCUGUAGCAAGUGGGUUCGAGCAUGCGUAUGGUUACAUUUGGGCAACCCCUGCAGGGUGUACAUCUUAUCGAUAAGCCGUGUCCGCGGUUAUGGACGACUUGGAAUUGUAUAGCUUGAUCAUAGAACAACUUACACCUUAUUUCCUGUUGCUAAUAACUUGCUAAUAAAACCUUUUCAAAAUGUGUGUGAGCCUUUGACAGUACCUCUUUGCGAAGGGGGAUCGCAUCGGCUGUGUUAUGUUUGCAGAGUAUAGAACUGUUACCUUGUGCGCUCUCUUAUCUUCUCUGAGUAGAUGGAUGUUGUAGUGAGUCUCUAUUGGAUAGUAGCUUUGCUGCCGCUAAACUCCACAUAUAGCCGGGUGAAGUUUAUACCGCCCACCAGCGAGCAUAGCUGGUCUUGUCUCGCAAGUACGUGCCAAUGGUACUUACCCUCGCCUUCCUUUCUUUUUGUCUCCUCCCCCUUUUGUCGGCAACCGAUGGCCCGACUUUGACAGGUACGAGAUGACGACGUUAGCAAGGUUACCCUUCCGGCUUGGCCUGGGCAGGGUUAUGGACGCCACUGGUUAUCUUCAGGACUCUUAGUCCAAUUUGUAUCUUGUCCGUACUCGGACGUAUUCGAUCUUUUGUAUGAUUUGGAUCUUUGUAUUGUAUAUUUGUAUCUUGACUCGUUGGAGUCGUUGUUGUAAUAUAUGUAUCUUGUGGGCUCUAUUGUAAUCCUGUUGUAAUGU
This is a non-coding RNA of Lolium perenne, 2152 nucleotides long. NCBI's taxonomy places the organism in Eukaryota, Viridiplantae, Streptophyta, Magnoliopsida, Poales, Poaceae. The record is from RefSeq and is a predicted model, not a curated record.